UUAAGAACUUGUACGGUUUAUACAAAAAAGAAGAUUUAGUAUGAUUCUAAAUGAGACAAUUAUUCACAAGAGACGAAAUGACACAUUAAUUAACAGCUAUAGGUCACCGCACGGCCUUCAACAGUGAGCAAAGCCUGUACAUCAUAAUCAGCUAUAAAAGGACCCGAACUCUCAAAUGUAAAACAAUUCAAACGAGAAAACUAACGACCUAAUUAAUGUACAAAAAAAUGAACGAAAAACAGUAUGUAACAUAGCAACAAACGACAACAACUGAAUUACAGACUCCUGACUUUGGACAGGCAACUAAAUACAGAAUGUUGCUGGGUUAAACAUGUUAGUGGGAUCCCAAUCCUCCUCAUAACCGGGGACAGUGGUGAAACAGUACAGAAUAAGAAUGAACACUAUAAUCAGUUCAUAAAGGGUUAACACGUCAG
Molecule: long non-coding RNA, 434 nt
Filed under: Mytilus galloprovincialis (Mediterranean mussel)
Lineage: Eukaryota; Metazoa; Mollusca; Bivalvia; Mytilida; Mytilidae
Source: RNAcentral